ACCUUCCUAACCUCAUACCUUAUCUUCUUCUCGAACAAACGAUUCUUCUUUUUGACUCUGUAUCUCCAAACUCUAGCUUCUCUCUCACUUCUGCUGGUUACUCUCUUCUCUUCUAUUAUCCCCUGCAAUUACGAAGCAUUACAAUAAAAGUCUUUUAUAACACUUGGGGUUGAAUUUGUCCAUUAGAAAAUUAUGAUAAAAGAAUUCAAAAGAUUAGGGGAUCUUACCGGAGGAACUAGCUGGAAGUUACUUGUGUUGUUAAACUCAUUUUGGUUUCUUGUUGCUUCUCUUGGAGAUUCUUGUUUAUCCCAAGCUGCUAUAACAUUUUCAUAAUUCAGUCUAAGUAACAUGUUUCUCUGCCUUGUAUUACUCUCAUAAUCUUCAAUUACUUCUGUCUUGGCUGAAAUCGUAAUGGCAUUGUCAUAAUCUUUCUUGCAGCUCAUCAGAGAUUGUCCAGGACAUGCUUCAGCUCCAUUAGUUUUAGUUGCUGCUUCUUCAAUGUAAUAUAGAUCCUCCAUUGCAUCGAUUUCAUCUUCAAAGUUGAAUUGUUUCGUUGUUUCUUGAGUACCAUUGUGGUUGGUCAAGAAGAAGCCCAUCUCUGUGAAUCCUUCGAACUCUGGCACAAGAGAAGUCAUAUCAUCCUCAUCAUCAUUUGGUUCUGGUAUGAAAAACAUUGCUUCACCUCCAAUCUCGGGAACACGAGGGUCUUCUCUCCUUCUCUCAUCUUCUUUCUUUUCUUGUGUUUUUUUCUCAGACCGGGAUCUAGGUGUUCUUGCUUUUCUUCUGAACCCGCUGUGCCAAACCGGGUUUGAUGUUGUUCCUCCAAGCACAUCACUCGGUGUUCGAAGACAAA
RNAcentral lists this long non-coding RNA (853 nucleotides) under Capsella grandiflora. RNAcentral describes it as "long non-coding RNA (CGRA_LNC000404)". The record is from RNAcentral. Lineage: Eukaryota; Viridiplantae; Streptophyta; Magnoliopsida; Brassicales; Brassicaceae.